Molecule: ribosomal RNA, 677 nt
Filed under: Microbacterium laevaniformans
Lineage: Bacteria; Bacillati; Actinomycetota; Actinomycetes; Micrococcales; Microbacteriaceae
Description: partial 16S ribosomal RNA
Source: RNAcentral
GGGUUGGGCCACCGGCUUCAGGUGUUACCGACUUUCAUGACUUGACGGGCGGUGUGUACAAGACCCGGGAACGUAUUCACCGCAGCGUUGCUGAUCUGCGAUUACUAGCGACUCCGACUUCAUGAGGUCGAGUUGCAGACCUCAAUCCGAACUGGGACCGGCUUUUUGGGAUUCGCUCCACCUUACGGUAUUGCAGCCCUUUGUACCGGCCAUUGUAGCAUGCGUGAAGCCCAAGACAUAAGGGGCAUGAUGAUUUGACGUCAUCCCCACCUUCCUCCGAGUUGACCCCGGCAGUAUCCCAUGAGUUCCCACCAUUACGUGCUGGCAACAUAGAACGAGGGUUGCGCUCGUUGCGGGACUUAACCCAACAUCUCACGACACGAGCUGACGACAACCAUGCACCACCUGUUUACGAGUGUCCAAAGAGUUCUACAUUUCUGCAGCGUUCUCGUAUAUGUCAAGCCUUGGUAAGGUUCUUCGCGUUGCAUCGAAUUAAUCCGCAUGCUCCGCCGCUUGUGCGGGUCCCCGUCAAUUCCUUUGAGUUUUAGCCUUGCGGCCGUACUCCCCAGGCGGGGAACUUAAUGCGUUAGCUGCGUCACGGAAUCCGUGGAAUGGACCCCACAACUAGUUCCCAACGUUUACGGGGUGGACUACCAGGGUAUCUAAGCCUGUUUGCU